This 1686-nucleotide ribosomal RNA is filed under the name Escherichia coli. RNAcentral describes it as "partial 23S ribosomal RNA". It matches the Rfam family "Bacterial large subunit ribosomal RNA", at positions 375 to 2049 of the family's 2925-position model. Lineage: Bacteria; Pseudomonadati; Pseudomonadota; Gammaproteobacteria; Enterobacterales; Enterobacteriaceae. The record is from RNAcentral.
GUACACAAAAAUGCACAUAUUGUGAGCUCGAUGAGUAGGGCGGGACACGUGGUAUCCUGUCUGAAUAUGGGGGGACCAUCCUCCAAGGCUAAAUACUCCUGACUGACCGAUAGUGAACCAGUACCGUGAGGGAAAGGCGAAAAGAACCCCGGCGAGGGGAGUGAAAAAGAACCUGAAACCGUGUACGUACAAGCAGUGGGAGCCUCUUUAUGGGGUGACUGCGUACCUUUUGUAUAAUGGGUCAGCGACUUAUAUUCUGUAGCAAGGUUAACCGAAUAGGGGAGCCGAAGGGAAACCGAGUCUUAACUGGGCGUUAAGUUGCAGGGUAUAGACCCGAAACCCGGUGAUCUAGCCAUGGGCAGGUUGAAGGUUGGGUAACACUAACUGGAGGACCGAACCGACUAAUGUUGAAAAAUUAGCGGAUGACUUGUGGCUGGGGGUGAAAGGCCAAUCAAACCGGGAGAUAGCUGGUUCUCCCCGAAAGCUAUUUAGGUAGCGCCUCGUGAAUUCAUCUCCGGGGGUAGAGCACUGUUUCGGCAAGGGGGUCAUCCCGACUUACCAACCCGAUGCAAACUGCGAAUACCGGAGAAUGUUAUCACGGGAGACACACGGCGGGUGCUAACGUCCGUCGUGAAGAGGGAAACAACCCAGACCGCCAGCUAAGGUCCCAAAGUCAUGGUUAAGUGGGAAACGAUGUGGGAAGGCCCAGACAGCCAGGAUGUUGGCUUAGAAGCAGCCAUCAUUUAAAGAAAGCGUAAUAGCUCACUGGUCGAGUCGGCCUGCGCGGAAGAUGUAACGGGGCUAAACCAUGCACCGAAGCUGCGGCAGCGACACUAUGUGUUGUUGGGUAGGGGAGCGUUCUGUAAGCCUGUGAAGGUGGCCUGUGAGGGUUGCUGGAGGUAUCAGAAGUGCGAAUGCUGACAUAAGUAACGAUAAAGCGGGUGAAAAGCCCGCUCGCCGGAAGACCAAGGGUUCCUGUCCAACGUUAAUCGGGGCAGGGUGAGUCGACCCCUAAGGCGAGGCCGAAAGGCGUAGUCGAUGGGAAACAGGUUAAUAUUCCUGUACUUGGUGUUACUGCGAAGGGGGGACGGAGAAGGCUAUGUUGGCCGGGCGACGGUUGUCCCGGUUUAAGCGUGUAGGCUGGUUUUCCAGGCAAAUCCGGAAAACCAAGGCUGAGGCGUGAUGACGAGGCACUACGGUGCUGAAGCGACAAAUGCCCUGCUUCCAGGAAAAGCCUCUAAGCAUCAGGUAACAUCAAAUCGUACCCCAAACCGACACAGGUGGUCAGGUAGAGAAUACCAAGGCGCUUGAGAGAACUCGGGUGAAGGAACUAGGCAAAAUGGUGCCGUAACUUCGGGAGAAGGCACGCUGAUAUGUAGGUGAAGCGACUUGCUCGUGGAGCUGAAAUCAGUCGAAGAUACCAGCUGGCUGCAACUGUUUAUUAAAAACACAGCACUGUGCAAACACGAAAGUGGACGUAUACGGUGUGACGCCUGCCCGGUGCCGGAAGGUUAAUUGAUGGGGUUAGCGGUAACGCGAAGCUCUUGAUCGAAGCCCCGGUAAACGGCGGCCGUAACUAUAACGGUCCUAAGGUAGCGAAAUUCCUUGUCGGGUAAGUUCCGACCUGCACGAAUGGCGUAAUGAUGGCCAGGCUGUCUCCACCCGAGACUCAGUGAAAUUGAACUC